UACGUAGGGACCAAGCGUUGUUCGGAUUUACUGGGCGUAAAGAGCUCGUAGGUGGUUCGGUAAGUCAGGUGUGAAACCUCCAGGCUCAACCUGGAGACGCCACUUGAUACUGCUGUGACUGGAGUCCGGUAGGGGAGCGUGGAAUUCCUGGUGUAGCGGUGAAAUGCGCAGAUAUCAGGAGGAAUACCGAUGGCGAAGGCAGGUCUCUGGGCUGACACUGACGCUCAUGCACGAAAGCGUGGGGAGCAAACAGG
Molecule: ribosomal RNA, 254 nt
Filed under: uncultured bacterium
Lineage: Bacteria
Description: partial 16S ribosomal RNA
Rfam family: Bacterial small subunit ribosomal RNA
Source: RNAcentral